CUUCUGUGUUCUACAAUGCCCGCAUUCUCCACUAGUGUGAGUCUUCUAAGCUGGGACAGGCAGAACGCAAACACGGGGAGGCUGAGAUGGUGCCAAAAACAGUGCUAUUUAUUUACAAUGAAGAGCUGGAAAGUGGGUGUAAGGAAGAGGAGGGAGAGUGGGGGAAGUGCUGUCUUGCGAGGUGCGAUGUGGGGGCUGGAGCUGCCAUGAAGAAAGACCCAGGAGCCGUCAAGGAGGCUGAGGAUGGUCGAGAGGCAUAGUGUAGCCGGGGAGUUUCUUUUCCGCUGUCCUUGUUGUCAUCUUCCACGUUGGCCUCUACAAUGAGAGAGAGCGAGAGAGACACACACAAUAGUGUGCAUGUGCUCAGAGCAUGAACUCACUGGGGCCGCCGCUCCCUUUUAUAGUAGCCUCUCUUUGGCUGGAUGUUGUGUGUAUUUCUGCCACCCCACCUUGUAGUCAUGUGCACUCUUGCUGUCUAAAACAAGUGGCGCUGUCCCUUCAGCACCUCGCCAGCAGUUGUGCAAGGAGUGCACUUCUUGUAGUGUGUGUGAGCUGCAUGCCGUGACAGUCCUGUAUAAGUUUUGUGUGAAUCCAAGCAAGCAAUAAUGAGUUACAACUGUACAUUUUAGUAAAUAAUCCUAGGAUUUUCACACACACACACACACACACUUUAAUCAGAUACAAAGUUACUAAUAACUUGCUACUUGAGUAGUCUUCUCAUUGGAUACUUUAUUACUCUUACUCAAGUAAAUAUUAACAUUAUUACUUUUAAUAUUAAUUGAGUAAUUAUUUUUAUAAGUAGUUUUAAGUAGUUUUAUGUCUCAAUCAGCUCCCUAGGUCGUGAAUCAACAUAUCAUGUACGUUAGUUCGGGCUCCGUUACAGACCCUGGCUCACUACACUCUGGGACACUGAUAACUCAAUUUCCAGUGACAUGUCUAUGUAAUUGUGUUAAAAAAUGUCAGAAAAAAUUAACAACUUUAAAAUAUUUCAGCUUUACAUGUCAUAUAAAUUUGUUAGCUUAAUCACACACAUUUCUGUCAUGGUACAUCAAGCAGGAUACUAGACUAGCUAAUGGAUUUUUUAAAAAAUAAUUAAACACUUAAGUCAUUAGACUCAAACAAACCAUGUAUAGAACAUCAAAUAAAAAGUUAAAAACAAGUAAUCCUUUGAGAACUACAGUAACAAGCUAGUUACAUUUAUAGAAACAGUUGGCUGAGAGUUUGCCCCCCUUUUUUUUAGCUGAAAGGUUUCAGAAAACAUGACAUCAUUUCCAGUAAGGGAAUAUAGUAAGCAUUUGUGCUCCCUGGUUUUUGUUGUACAUUGUGAGAUUUUUCAGGGAACAAACAUUGCAGAGCACUUGAAUGAUUUUGUGAUUGAGACAGCUCUUAAAAUGGCCAACUCCCUUAUCAGUGCCCUUACUACUGAACUAGGGAGCUGGUUGAGACAUACCCCAAGUUUCCUGUCUGUAGAACCUAUGGUUAGGUCUGCACAAUCAGUUUUCGUGGAGAAAAAAAAGGAGUAGUAGUAGAAGGAGGAGGAGAAGAAGAAGCAGAAGAAAAGGCGCAGACUGUUGAAAGUGCCCAUGCUGACCAUCGUGUUCUGCAAAAAGGGGCAUGUGAGCAUUAGAACUGAACCAGAAGAAAAGAUGAUGACCUGGUCUGAUGAAUCAUGUUUCCUUUUUUACAUCAUGUGGAUGGACUGGUGUGUGUGUGUUGCUUACCUGGGGGAAGAGAUGGCACCAGGAUGCACUAUGGGGAGAAUGAAAACCAGUGUGAUGCUCUAGGCAAUGUUCUGCUGGGUACACUGACACUUACCACCUAUCUAAAUAUCAUUAGAGUGGGAAGCAACUGCGGUAAUGAUCGGACAACAGAUUCUUCUCAGGAAUUGGAGGAACCGGCAAGUCCCGCAUCGGAGAAAUGGAUUAUUGAAUUCAGAAAGGUUGCAGCUUCCAUAAAGGAUGCAUAAUAAGGAACAGAAAUACCUGUCAAAGUGGGACAGAUUUCACACAUGGUGAUAUACAGUGGAUGAUGAGUUAUGAUGGAAUAUGUCCUUGGAGGGGCUAAGCUGUACAUAUUUUGUAUGUUUUCGGUGUACAUAUGUUAAUAGUCAUACAUUGUAAAGGCAGUCAAGAGCCAUGCUUUCCAUACUACAGAGAAGUUUUAAGUUGUAAGGAUUUCCUCAAAUGGUUUGGAUAGGAACCUGGAGGAACUUCGCACAGGACUUCAGAAUCUCAUCCUAUAUAGGAUUUUCUAUUUUCUACUUGAGAAUCCACUUGGAAUUAAUGAGGAACAGCUGUUUAAGUAAAUUAAGCUCUGCCUUUUUAAGAAUAGAUUGACAUGUGCUGGCCAUAUUGGUUAAAAAACGUAAAGUUUUUUAGAUAAUUCUCGAGGUUGAUACUUUGCUGAAUAGUUUUACGCCGAAUUUGUGAGGACUGCACAAGAAUUCUAUAAUUAGUUUACAAAAGUUAACAUAUUAUGCAAAUUAGCAAAAAAAAUCUAUGUUGGUGGAGCUAAAUGGUUCUUUUUGUAUCAGUAGAAUCAGCCUGAGUACUUGGAGCCCUAAUAAAAAUAAAAAAUAAUAAAAUAAAAUGUCAAAUAUGUCAGUAAAGAAAGUAACAUAGUACAUAAUAGACCACAAAACAUGAUGAAGGCUGUCAGGGACUACGUGCAAGUCUCCAAAAAAACAAUGGCAGCUUCUCCAAGAUGCUUAGCAAAAAAUACCGGCCAGUAUUCUUUUUAAACUGUAUGAAGUGUACCUAAGACUACUGAUGCAUUUGUAAAGGCAUUUUAAAGGCAAAUCUUGACUUUGUUUAGUUUAUUACUGCUCUAUCUAUGCUCACCCUCCACUUUACUAGGAAAACCUGCACAUUCAUGCACGUACCUAUUCAGCCAAUCAGUUGGCAGCAAAACAAUGUAAAAAAAAUCAUGCAGAUACAGGUCAAUAGCUACCGCUAUUGUUCACAUCAAAGAUCAUAAAUGUGAUCUCAGUGACUUUAACCAUGGCAUGGUUUUUGGUAGCAGAUGGGCUGGUUUGAGUACUUCAGAAACUGCUGAUCUCUUGGGAUUUUUGCACAUAACAGUUUACACAAAAUGGUGUGAAAAACAUAAAACAUCCUGUGUGUGGAGGGUCUGCAGGCUACAGAGGAGAAUGACCAGACUGGUCUGAGCUGAUAGGAACUCAGUCAACGGAAGUCAUAGUAAUUCAAAUCAGCACUCUUUGCAACUGUGGUGAGCAGAAAAGCAUCUCAGAAUGCACAAAAGAUCAAACCUUGAGGUGGAUGGGCUACAAUUGCAG
This is a long non-coding RNA of Ictalurus punctatus (channel catfish), 3295 nucleotides long. NCBI's taxonomy places the organism in Eukaryota, Metazoa, Chordata, Actinopteri, Siluriformes, Ictaluridae. The record is from Ensembl.